UACGUAGGGCGCAAGCGUUGUCCGGAAUUAUUGGGCGUAAAGAGCUCGUAGGCGGUUUGUCGCGUCUGCUGUGAAAGCCCGGGGCUCAACCCCGGGUGUGCAGUGGGUACGGGCAGGCUGGAGUGUGGUAGGGGAGACUGGAACUCCUGGUGUAGCGGUGAAAUGCGCAGAUAUCAGGAAGAACACCGAUGGCGAAGGCAGGUCUCUGGGCCAUUACUGACACUGAGAAGCGAAAGCAUGGGGAGCGAACAG
Molecule: ribosomal RNA, 252 nt
Filed under: uncultured bacterium
Lineage: Bacteria
Description: partial 16S ribosomal RNA
Rfam family: Bacterial small subunit ribosomal RNA
Source: RNAcentral